UGCAGUCGAGCGCACCUUCGGGUGAGCGGCGGACGGGUUAGUAACGCGUGGGAAUAUACCCAGAUCUACGGAAUAGCCUCGGGAAACUGAGAGUAAUACCGUAUACGCCCUUCGGGGGAAAGAUUUAUCGGAUUUGGAUUAGCCCGCGUUAGAUUAGAUAGUUGGUGGGGUAAUGGCCUACCAAGUCUACGAUCUAUAGCUGGUUUUAGAGGAUGAUCAGCAACACUGGGACUGAGACACGGCCCAGACUCCUACGGGAGGCAGCAGUGGGGAAUCUUAGACAAUGGGCGAAAGCCUGAUCUAGCCAUGCCGCGUGUGUGAUGAAGGCCCUAGGGUCGUAAAGCACUUUCGCCAGAGAUGAUAAUGACAGUAUCUGGUAAAGAAACCCCGGCUAACUCCGUGCCAGCAGCCGCGGUAAUACGGAGGGGGUUAGCGUUGUUCGGAAUUACUGGGCGUAAAGCGUACGUAGGCGGAUUAGUAAGUUAGGGGUGAAAUCCCGAGGCUCAACCUCGGAACUGCCUCUAAAACUGCUAGUCUUGAGUUCGAGAGAGGUGAGUGGAAUUCCGAGUGUAGAGGUGAAAUUCGUAGAUAUUCGGAGGAACACCAGUGGCGAAGGCGGCUCACUGGCUC
RNAcentral lists this ribosomal RNA (630 nucleotides) under uncultured bacterium. Its description in RNAcentral is "bacterial SSU rRNA". It matches the Rfam family "Bacterial small subunit ribosomal RNA", at positions 56 to 735 of the family's 1533-position model. The record is from RNAcentral.